GGCCUUUGGGCUAAUAUGAAAUCAUGUCCCUAGAGACCCAAAUCUACAUAGGCCAUGGCCCAUAUUUGGACAAAUGCUAUUUUUUGUCAGGGUGCUACUUGAUCCACUUGUUUUGAAUAUCGUGCUUAAUCCUUUGUUUUCUUUUAUCAGAAUAUUGUGCUGACUCCUAAUCUUAGCAUUCAUCUUCAACUGUAUGCAAUGCCCAUCUCAAUGGCUGAUUUCGCUUCAAAUGACUCUUGGUUAUGCAAAUAUCUUAUGCAUUAUACUUUUGUCUUGUCCUUUCCAGUGCCCAGCCCUUCAUUAGCAGUUAAAAGUUUCAAAGAAUCUCAAUCCAAUAAAUUCUACUAAA
This 349-nucleotide unclassified non-coding RNA is filed under the name Hevea brasiliensis (rubber tree). Lineage: Eukaryota; Viridiplantae; Streptophyta; Magnoliopsida; Malpighiales; Euphorbiaceae. The record is from RNAcentral.